This is a long non-coding RNA of Arachis ipaensis, 829 nucleotides long. RefSeq lists it as uncharacterized. Lineage: Eukaryota; Viridiplantae; Streptophyta; Magnoliopsida; Fabales; Fabaceae. The record is from RefSeq and is a predicted model, not a curated record.
AUAUAAAAAAAAAACCAAAAAUCAAUCGUUCUUCAUCUUCUCCAAUUCCCCAAAUCAUUCCUGUCUCCCUCUAAAGCAAAGCAAAACAUAUCAAUAAAACUAAAAAUCAAUCGUUCUUCGUCUUCUCCAAUUUCCUUAAUAUCAUUCGUCCCCCUCCCCCCAUUCUGAAGCAAAACAGUGAAAGUCCCAAACCAAAACAACAAAACCCUAGCCCUAGGUUUUUUGCCGCCGCCGUCCCCUAUCUCAGUGCUUCCGCUUCUUCCUCUUCCCUCUGUCCGGAACCCAGAUAGCUCGGCACGUCGUCCCCAUCUUCACUGGCUUCUCUGUCCGUGGCUUGGAGCAGCUUGCCAUCGAGUCACUGCAUGCCGUCGUAUCUGCUCUCGUCGUCGUGUCGCCGAUCGCUGCCAGAACUAGGUCGCCGGUCGCUGCCGUUUUGGGUGCAGCAAAAGCUCUUGGUCAAAUCAAACCUCUUGGAGUUGAGGUUCAUUUUGUAGUUGCAGCUUGUAAGAAUAUGAUUAAUGGAAAAGGUAUGAGGCUUGGAGACAUUGUCACAACUUCAAAUAGAAAGACUAUAGAGGUUAACAACACUGAUGCGGAGGGUAGGCUUACCUUGUUAUGUAAUAGAAACUCUGUUUUGUGUUGUAAAUGGUUUGGUCUAAUUUGACCAAGGUCAAUUUACAUGUAUGAGAUAUAAGCUUUGCACUAUUAUCAUGAGUGCGAAUAGAUACCAGAAAAAAAAAAUUAAAGCAAAGAAGCUUUUGCAAAAGGGGUUUCAACAUGUUUUACUUGAUACAUGUGUCAAUGAAUCAUUCAAAUUUUCAAAACUUAA